UGCAAUUUUUAUAUCACCGUGAUCACCAUUCUUUUCUCUACAGGUUGACCGGAGCCGAAUCACCAAAACACGAACCUCACCGGAGAGCCGCCGCACCCGAGAGCGCCGCCGCCGGUAAGCUCCGUUUUUUCGUGAUUUUUUGGCCCCCCGAGGGCCCUAGGGUUGUUUUCUCACAGGGACCGUUGCGAGUGUGGCCGAAUUCGGUCGAAAACAGCCAACCCGAGGCGACUCGCCGGCGCCAGCGGCGGCGCCGUCGCCGGAGCACGGCGGAGCCGCC
This 277-nucleotide long non-coding RNA is filed under the name Carica papaya (papaya). RNAcentral describes it as "long non-coding RNA (CPAP_LNC008363)". The record is from RNAcentral. Lineage: Eukaryota; Viridiplantae; Streptophyta; Magnoliopsida; Brassicales; Caricaceae.